AGAACGAACGCUGGCGGCAGGCCUAACACAUGCAAGUCGAACGCCGUAGCAAUACGGAGUGGCAGACGGGUGAGUAACGCGUGGGAACAUACCCCUCGGUUCGGAAUAACUCAGGGAAACUUGAGCUAAUACCGGAUACGUCCGAGGUUUUAAUCGACCUUGGAGAAAGAUUUAUCGCCGGAGGAUUGGCCCGCGUCUGAUUAGCUUGUUGGUGAGGUAAUGGCUUACCAAGGCGACGAUCAGUAGCUGGUCUGAGAGGAUGAUCAGCCACAUUGGGACUGAGACACGGCCCAAACUCCUACGGGAGGCAGCAGUGGGGAAUAUUGGACAAUGGGCGAAAGCCUGAUCCAGCCAUGCCGCGUGAGUGAUGAAGGCCUUAGGGUUGUAAAGCUCUUUUACCCGGGAAGAUAAUGACGGUACCGGGAGAAUAAGCCCCGGCUAACGUUCGCGCCAGCAGCCGC
This 461-nucleotide ribosomal RNA is filed under the name uncultured bacterium. RNAcentral's name for it is "SSU rRNA". It matches the Rfam family "Bacterial small subunit ribosomal RNA", at positions 26 to 518 of the family's 1533-position model. The record is from RNAcentral.